RNAcentral lists this ribosomal RNA (492 nucleotides) under uncultured bacterium. RNAcentral describes it as "partial 16S ribosomal RNA". It matches the Rfam family "Bacterial small subunit ribosomal RNA", at positions 29 to 507 of the family's 1533-position model. The record is from RNAcentral.
AGUGAACGCUGGCGGUAGGCCUAACACAUGCAAGUCGAACGGCAGCACAGUAAGAGCUUGCUCUUACGGGUGGCGAGUGGCGGACGGGUGAGGAAUACAUCGGAAUCUACUUUUUCGUGGGGGAUAACGUAGGGAAACUUACGCUAAUACCGCAUACGACCUACGGGUGAAAGCAGGGGAUCUUCGGACCUUGCGCGAUUGAAUGAGCCGAUGUCGGAUUAGCUAGUUGGCGGGGUAAAGGCCCACCAAGGCGACGGUCCGUAGCUGGUCUGAGAGGAUGAUCAGCCACACUGGAACUGAGACACGGUCCAGACUCCUACGGGAGGCAGCAGUGGGGAAUAUUGGACAAUGGGCGCAAGCCUGAUCCAGCUAUACCGCGUGGGUGAAGAAGGCCUUCGGGUUGUAAAGCCCUUUUGUUGGGAAAGAAAAGCAGUAGGUUAAUACCCCGCUGUUCUGACGGUACCCAAAGAAUAAGCACCGGCUAACUUCGUG